CAGCCGCCACGGUAAUACGUAGGUGGCAAGCGUUGUCCGGAAUUAUUGGGCGUAAAGGGCUCGCAGGCGGUUUCUUAAGUCUGAUGUGAAAGCCCCCGGCUCAACCGGGGAGGGUCAUUGGAAACUGGGAAACUUGAGCGCAGAAGAGGAGAGUGGAAUUCCACGUGUAGCGGUGAAAUGCGUAGAGAUGUGGAGGAACACCAGUGGCGAAGGCGACUCUCUGGUCUGUAACUGACGCUGAGGAGCGAAAGCGUGGGGAGCGAACAGGAUUAGAUACCCGAGUAGUCCCUGUCUCUUAUAC
Molecule: ribosomal RNA, 301 nt
Filed under: uncultured bacterium
Lineage: Bacteria
Description: partial 16S ribosomal RNA
Rfam family: Bacterial small subunit ribosomal RNA
Source: RNAcentral